Molecule: long non-coding RNA, 3623 nt
Organism: Octopus bimaculoides (California two-spot octopus)
Lineage: Eukaryota; Metazoa; Mollusca; Cephalopoda; Octopoda; Octopodidae
Source: RefSeq, a predicted model, not a curated record
AAUUAUUAAUUACACCGUCCAGUUUCUUCUUGACCUCGAUUAAUUUAACUGUGCAGUAAUUAUAUCAUGUUACUAUUAUUAUACACAAAUAAUAUAUUUGUGCAUAAUAUAUUAUAUCCAAUAUAUUUCAGGUCGUUGUUCCAUCGCCUGCAUGAUUAAAUAUUUCACCACAAACUACGUUACAUUGUCAAUCGGUUGUUCCCUAACAGGACAAGGAAGAGACAAGGGCAAAGCUUGCAGCCACUCAAGAACAAGCGCAGAAAUAUUACAACAAACAUGCACAAUAUUUACCUGAGAUACUUGGAGGACAACAUGUGCAUACUCAAGAUCCUAUAACUAAAACAUGGAUCCCAGCACAAGUUGUCAGUAGAGCUGAAACUCCAAGAUCGUACAUUAUAGAAACUGAAUCUGGUAGGCAGCUGAGACGUAAACGGGCCCACAUCCGCCCAACACCAAAGCUAUCGAGAAUAACACGCGCAACACCUGCAGCAUCAGUGACAACACCAACAAGAACCACAACAUGCACAGCAGAUGACGGCACAAACAGAAUCCGUGUUUCCACAGAAUCAUCACCCCAACGGACACCAACCACCCAUCAGCAGCCCAACGACACACCUCAGACACCAGUGCAGAGAACAAGAUCCACCGAUUCGAUACCGUUAAAAGAGAAAAAUAAUAAAACAACUACUUCUGCUGGAUUAGGAAGCAGAAAACCAUGUGUGUGGGCAGAAUAAUCCCACGGUUUCUGCUGCAGGAUUGCCACCCUUGCGCUGACAAUCCAUUAGUAUAAGGGAGAUUACUUCUAUUUUUUCAUUGCCAAAAUAUCCUUUUUUUUUUCAAGAAGGGAUGUUACACUUUCAUAUCUAUGUGCAUGCGUAGGUAUACGUAUGUAUGAAUACAUCCCCACUAGUAGUACUAUUUUGUUAAGCGCAUCUACUAAGCUGUAUGAACUGUGUCUAGGGCAGAUACGCACAGUGUGUAUCACUCCGCUAUAGAUACUGUUUGUAAACAUGUCAAGUAAAACACGUACAAUCAUAAUCAUGUCUUCAGUGUGUGUGCAAAAAAAAUCUAUUUUUACAUAAAAAUUUUUUUUCUUUGUUGGUAAUUCGCAUUUAGAAAGUUGAUCCAGGUAAAUAUUGUGCAUGUUGCAAUAUUUGUGUGCUUGUUCUUGAGUGGCUGCUAGCUUUGCCCUUGUCUCUUCCUGGUCAAUAGGAGGUUGGAUCUUAGUUGGCAGGGUGGUCUUAUAUUUCCUACCAUUCAGCAUUUCUGCUGGGCAUUUCAUGUCUGCUCGUAGGGACAAAAGAGCCAGGUGUGAAUCUUCCUUGGUUUCUCAGCAUUUGACAAAUGUUCUCUCGACGGUCUGCACCUGUCUUUCAAUGAAUCCAUGACCUUUGGGGUAGUGUGGAGAUGAGGUUACAAUGUUGAACCCAUACUCAUUGGCUGGCUUUUUGAAUUCUUGAGAUGUGAACUGGGUUCCAUUGUCACAAAUGAUCUGCUCUGGUAUUCCUUGCUCUGCUACAAGUCUUCGAGCCACUGUAGUUAUUGUUUUGGCUCUCAGGUCUUUCACUUUUCUCACAAAUGGGAAUUUGGAGUAGUAGCAGACCAUAAUCAAGUACAAUUCUUGGUUCGUUGUGAACAGAUCUACUCCAAUAGUUUGCCAUGGCCUUCUUGGAAUGUCACUGGAUAUCAUUUCCUCCUUUCGUUGUGUGUUCCUGUACUUUUGACAGAUGUGGCAUGCAGAAACCAUCUUUUCUAUAUCUUUGUACAUGCCUACCCAAUAUACAGCUGACUUGGCUCAGAGUUUGCAUUUUUCCAUUCCCAGAUGCCCUUGGUGGAUCUUUUCUAGAAUUUCUUUUUGCAUUGAUUUGGGUAUAAUUAUUCGGGAUCCAGCCAUCAGGAUUCCAUUUUCCACUGCUAUGUCAUCGUGGAUGGCCCAAUAUUCACGAAUGAGGGGCUGCACCUGAUGUCUCUUCUCUGGCCACCCCUGAAUCACCAUCUGAGUAAGGAGCUGGAGUUCUUCGUCUUUGCUGGUCUCUUUGAUUUGUUCCAGCUUUGUGUUUGUCACAUUUACAAUGUGGUGGACCUUGACACUUAGUCCUUCCAUCUCCUGUUUAUCAUGUGAGGAUAGUCUGGCUGGUGAUUUUGUGAGGUUUUUGAUAGGCAUAUUUCUGUCAAUCCUGCUUGGAGCUGCCUUCACUUCACCGUUGACUGACACAAUAUUAAGCUUUUGACAGGUAUCAAGUCCAAGAAUUGCAGGUCCUGUUCUUGCGACAUAAAAAGAACACUUGAUUAUUUUUCCUUUGUGUGUCCCUGUAAUGGUUGCUUUGGCCAGUUGUGGAAUCCUGGUACCUCCUUAUGCAGUGAUGAUUCCUUCUUUGACUUUAUCCUCUUGUAUCAUGUGUUCUGGGAACAUCUUUUUGUAGAGGUUGAUAGGUAAGAUAUUACUCUGGGCUCCAGUGUCAAUCUUCAGCUUUAAGUCAAUGAUAAUUCGUUUCUUGCCUGACUUCCUUUGAAUUUGUAUUGUUGUAUAUGCCUCAUUUUUUUUCUGGUUGUCAUUUCCCAUCUCAUGCACAUUUAUUGUGCCGACUGCCAAGAAUUACUCCUCUGAGGUGUUUUCUUCCAGAUGUUGGGCAUGUACAUCUCUUUAUCUUCUCUUACCACUCCACUUUGAAAAUUGGGGCUUAUAUUUUUGAGAUUUUGCUAGUCUACACAUUUUUCCCCAGUGGUUGGGUUUUCCACAUGCUUUGCAGUGUGUACCGAAUGCAGGACAUUUCCUCAGGUCAUUGAACUCAUGCUCUGUACCACAGUACUGGCAUGUUCUCUGUUUGUGGGUAUGUUUCGUCUUAUGUCUAGAUACAAUAUCUACACUGCUGCCUACUGUGUUUGUUUGUAAAGUAAGUGAUGCCAUUUGUUUGGUAGUGGCUUCGAAUGCUCUUGCAGUAUCUACUGCCUCUGCCAGCUGGAGAGCAUCCUUACCGAUGAGAGAUUUCUGGACUUCUUUAUGAGCACACCCCCAUAGAAGUUGAUCAGCAAUCCUUUCGUCCUUUUCUUUGAAUUUGCACUUCUCGGCAACAUUCUUUAGUCUGGACAGGAAGUUGUCAGUUGUUUCUUGUGGGUCUUGUUUCAGGCCCUGGAAUUCAUACCUAUGAAUUCUAUGGUUUGAUCUGGGCUCUAGGUGCCUUUCAAAUUUCUCUAAAAGUAUGUCUGGAUUAUUGCAAUCCGAUUCUGACAUAUCCCAACUAUUGAAUAGGUCUAGACCCUUCUCUCCCGUCCAUAAAAGGAUGUAGCUUCCCUUUUCAUCGGCAGUUGUACCUUUAAGGAAGCUUUUGAAAGCCAGUUGAGUUUUCUGUUUAAAUUUCUUGAACGCUUCCACGAUAUCAUCCACGUACCAGUUCAUGGUCGGAUGUAGAUUCAUCUGUACGGCGACGGAGGCUGCCAUUUUUUUGAUCCUCGUGUGUGUGUCCCCGAAGACGAAGCAAUAUUCAGUUUGUUAAAUUUUAGGUUUGUUGUUUUCCUGUUUUGUUGUAAAGGCACUGUUUUCGAUUAGUAUUUAUUGCUGCCACCAUGUUAUGUAUUAUUUUGUUCUUGAUGGGAUAAUAAACAACUCACUGAAGGCAUUGUUA